CCCUGAGUGGCUCAAACGGUUAAGCAUUUGACUACUAGUCAAAAGGUUGAUGGUUUGAGCCCACCCAGAGGUG
Molecule: transfer RNA, 73 nt
Filed under: Loxodonta africana (African savanna elephant)
Lineage: Eukaryota; Metazoa; Chordata; Mammalia; Proboscidea; Elephantidae
Rfam family: tRNA
About the family: Transfer RNA (tRNA) molecules are approximately 80 nucleotides in length. Their secondary structure includes four short double-helical elements and three loops (D, anti-codon, and T loops).
Source: Rfam by way of RNAcentral